AUCUACGGCCAUACCACCCUGAACGCGCCCGAUCUCGUCUGAUCUCGGAAGCUAAGCAGGGUUGGGCCUGGUUAGUACUUGGAUGGGAAAGUAUCUGCUUUCUCAUACUAAAACCAAUACUUGAUAUCAUCGAAC
This is a ribosomal RNA of Ursus americanus (American black bear), 135 nucleotides long. The record is from Ensembl. Lineage: Eukaryota; Metazoa; Chordata; Mammalia; Carnivora; Ursidae.